RNAcentral lists this ribosomal RNA (253 nucleotides) under uncultured bacterium. RNAcentral describes it as "partial 16S ribosomal RNA". It matches the Rfam family "Bacterial small subunit ribosomal RNA", at positions 524 to 776 of the family's 1533-position model. The record is from RNAcentral.
UACGGAGGGAGCUAGCGUUAAUCGGAAUUACUGGGCGUAAAGUGUGCGCAGGCGGCAGAGCAAGUCGAGUGUGAAAGCCCCGGGCUUAACUUGGGAAUUGCGCUCGAAACUACUUUGCUGGAGUGUGGCAGAGGAAGGUGGAAUUCCACGUGUAGCGGUGAAAUGCGUAGAGAUGUGGAGGAACACCAAUGGCGAAGGCAGCCUUCUGGGCCAACACUGACGCUCAUGCACGAAAGCGUGGGGAGCAAACAGG